UGGGGUGACUGCGUACCUUUUGUAUAAUGGGUCAGCGACUUAUAUUCUGUAGCAAGGUUAACCGUAUAGGGGAGCCGGAGGGAAACCGAGUCUUAACCGGGCGUUAAGUUGCAGGGUAUAGACCCGAAACCCGGUGAUCUAGCCAUGGGCAGGUUGAAGGUUGGGUAACACUAACUGGAGGACCGAACCGACUAAUGUUGAAAAAUUAGCGGAUGACCUGUGGCUGGGGGUGAAAGGCCAAUCAAACCGGGAGAUAGCUGGUUCUCCCCGAAAGCUAUUUAGGUAGCGCCUCGUGAAUUCAUCUCCGGGGGUAGAGCACUGUUUCGGCCAGGGGGCCAUCCCGGCUUACCAACCCGAUGCAAACUGCGAAUACCGGAGAAUGUUAUCACGGGAGACACACGGCGGGUGCUAACGUCCGUCGUGAAGAGGGAAACAACCCAGACCGCCAGCUAAGGUCCCAAAGUCAUGGUUAAGUGGGAAACGAUGUGGGAAGGCCCAGACAGCCAGGAUGUUGGCUUAGAAGCAGCCAUCAUUUAAAGAAAGCGUAAUAGCUCACUGGUCGAGUCGGCCUGCGCGGAAGAUGUAACGGGGCUAAACCAUGCACCGAAGCUGCGGCAGCGACACUGUGUGUUGUUGGGUAGGGGAGCGUUCUGUAAGCCUGCGAAGGUGUGCUGUGAGGCAUGCUGGAGGUAUCAGAAGUGCGAAUGCUGACAUAAGUAACGAUAAUGCGGGUGAAAAACCCGCACGCCGGAAGACCAAGGGUUCCUGUCCAACGUUAAUCGGGGCAGGGUGAGUCGACCCCUAAGGCGAGGCCGAAAGGCGUAGUCGAUGGGAAACGGGUUAAUAUUCCCGUACCUGGUGUUACUGCGAAGGGGGGACGGAGAAGGCUAUGUUGGCCGGGCGACGGUUGUCCCGGUUUAAGCGUGUAGGUGUGUGUUCCAGGAAAAUCCGGUUCACUUUAACACUGAGGCGUGACGACGAGGCACUACGGUGCUGAAGCAACAAAUGCCCUGCUUCCAGGAAAAGCCUCUAAGCCUCAGGUAACAUCAGAUCGUACCCGAAACCGACACAGGUGGUCAGGUAGAGAAUACCAAGGCGCUUGAGAGAACCCGGGUGAAGGAACUAGGCAAAAUGGUGCCGUAACUUCGGGAGAAGGCACGCUGACAUGUAGGUGAAGCGGUUUACCCGUGGAGCUGAAGUCAGUCGAAGAUACCAGCUGGCUGCAACUGUUUAUUAAAAACACAGCACUGUGCAAACACGAAAGUGGACGUAUACGGUGUGACGCCUGCCCGGUGCCGGAAGGUUAAUUGAUGGGGUCAGCGCAAGCGAAGCUCCUGAUCGAAGCCCCGGUAAACGGCGGCCGUAACUAUAACGGUCCUAAGGUAGCGAAAUUCCUUGUCGGGUAAGUUCCGACCUGCACGAAUGGCGUAAUGAUGGCCAGGCUGUCUCCACCCGGGACUCAGUGAAAUUGAACUCGCUGUGAAGAUGCAGUGUACCCGCGGCAAGACGGAAAGACCCCGUGAACCUUUACUAUAGCUUGACACUGAACACUGGUCCUUGAUGUGCAGGAUAGGUGGGAGGCUUUGAAGUGUGGACGCCAGUCUGCAUGGAGCCGUCCUUGAAAUACCACCCUUUAAUGGCUGGUGUUCUAACGUAGACCCGUGAACCGGGUUGCGGACAGUGUCUGGUGGGUAGUUUGACUGGGGCGGUCUCCUCCUAAAGCGUAACGGAGGAGCACGAAGGUUGGCUAAUCCUGGUCGGACAUCAGGAGGUUAGUGCAAUGGCAUAAGCCAGCUUGACUGCGAGCGUGACGGCGCGAGCAGGUGCGAAAGCAGGUCAUAGUGAUCCGGUGGUUCUGAAUGGAAGGGCCAUCGCUCAACGGAUAAAAGGUACUCCGGGGAUAACAGGCUGAUACCGCCCAAGAGUUCAUAUCGACGGCGGUGUUUGGCACCUCGAUGUCGGCUCAUCACAUCCUGGGGCUGAAGUAGGUCCCAAGGGUAUGGCUGUUCGCCAUUUAAAGUGGUACGCGAGCUGGGUUUAGAACGUCGUGAGACAGUUCGGUCCCUAUCUGCCGUGGGCGCUGGAGAACUGAGGGGGGCUGCUCCUAGUACGAGAGGACCGGAGUGGACGCAUCACUGGUGUUCGGGUUGUCAUGCCAAUGGCACUGCCCGGUAGCUAAAUGCGGAAGAGAUAAGUGCUGAAAGC
RNAcentral lists this ribosomal RNA (2205 nucleotides) under Salmonella enterica subsp. arizonae. RNAcentral's name for it is "partial 23S ribosomal RNA". It matches the Rfam family "Bacterial large subunit ribosomal RNA", at positions 589 to 2778 of the family's 2925-position model. The record is from RNAcentral. Lineage: Bacteria; Pseudomonadati; Pseudomonadota; Gammaproteobacteria; Enterobacterales; Enterobacteriaceae.